AUUGAACGCUGGCGGCAGGCUUAACACAUGCAAGUCGAGCGAGCGGCGGACGGGUGAGUAAUGUCUGGGAAACUGCCUGAUGGAGGGGGAUAACUACUGGAAACGGUAGCUAAUACCGCAUACCAUCAGAUGUGCCCAGAUGGGAUUAGCUAGUAGGUGGGGUAACGGCUCACCUAGGCGACGAUCCCUAGCUGGUCUGAGAGGAUGACCAGCAACACUGGAACUGAGACACGGUCCAGACCCCUACGGGAGGCAGCAGGGGGGAAUAUUGAACAAUGGGAGCGAGCCUGAUGCAGCCAUGCCGCGUGUGUGAAGAAGGCCUUCGGGUUGUAAAGCACUUUCAGCGAGGAGGCGUUACUCGCAGAAGAAGCACCGGCUAACUCCGUGCCAGCAGCCGCGGUAAUAC
RNAcentral lists this ribosomal RNA (406 nucleotides) under uncultured bacterium. RNAcentral describes it as "partial 16S ribosomal RNA". It matches the Rfam family "Bacterial small subunit ribosomal RNA", at positions 30 to 526 of the family's 1533-position model. The record is from RNAcentral.